RNAcentral lists this ribosomal RNA (423 nucleotides) under uncultured bacterium. RNAcentral's name for it is "partial 16S ribosomal RNA". It matches the Rfam family "Bacterial small subunit ribosomal RNA", at positions 360 to 776 of the family's 1533-position model. The record is from RNAcentral.
AAUUUUGGACAAUGGGGGAAACCCUGAUCCAGCCAUCCCGCGUGUAUGAUGAAGGCCUUCGGGUUGUAAAGUACUUUUGGCAGAGAAGAAAAGGCAUCUCCUAAUACGGUAUCCUGCUGAUGGUAUCUGCAGAACAAGCACCGGCUCACUACGUGCCAGCAGCCGCGGGAAUACGUAGGGUGCAAGCGUUAAUCGGAAUGACUGGGCGUGAAGCGUGUGUAAGGGAGUCGGAAAGAAAGAUGUGAAAUCCCAGGGCUCAACCUUGGAACUGCAUUUUUAACUGCCGAGCUAGAGUAUGUCAGAGGGGGGUAGAAUUCCACGUGUAGCAGUGAAUGCGUAGAUAUGUGGAGGAAUACCGAUGGCGAAGGCAGCCCCCUGGGAUAAUACUGACGCUCAGACACGAAAGCGUGGGGAGCAAACAGG